AAAUUUAGGUUAACUAAACCAAGGACCUUCAAAGCCCUAAACAGAUAUUAUUACCAUCUAAUUUCUG
RNAcentral lists this transfer RNA (67 nucleotides) under Gekko carusadensis. RNAcentral's name for it is "tRNA-Trp". The record is from RNAcentral. Lineage: Eukaryota; Metazoa; Chordata; Lepidosauria; Squamata; Gekkonidae.